UCAGAGCUGACAUCCUACGGCUCAACCGUAGAACUGCCUUGAUACUGGAGGUCUUGAGUCAUGGAGAGGUUGCUGGAAUUCGUGGUGUAGCGGUGAAAUGCGUAGAUAUCACGAGGAACACCAGUUACGAAGGUGGGCAACUGGACAGGUACUGACGCUGAGGCACGAAAGCGUGGGGAGCAAACAGGAUUAGAUACCCUGGUAGUCCACGCCGUAAACGAUGAUCACUCGGUGUUGCCGACUUGUCGGCAGUGCGUAAGCUAACGCAUUAAGUGAUCCACCUGGGGAGUACGAUCGCAAGGUUGAAACUCAAAGGAAUUGACGGGGGCCCGCACAAGCGGUGGAGCAUGUGGCUUAAUUCGAUGCAACGCGAGGAACCUUACCUGGGCUCGAACGCUACCGGACAGCCGCCCGAAAGGGGGCGUUCCUUCGGGACUGGUAGUGAGGUGCUGCAUGGCUGUCGUCAGCUUGUGUCGUGAGAUGUUGGGUUAAGUCCCGCAACGAGCGCAACCCCUAUUGUUAGUUACCAGCGGGUAAAGCCGGGGACUCUAGCGAGACUGCCUGCGCAAGCAGCGAGGAAGGUGGGGACGACGUCAAGUCAUCAUGGCCCUUAUGCCCAGGGCUGCACACGUGCUACAAUGGAUGGUACAAUGGGCAGCCACCCCGCGAGGGGGAGCUAAUCCAGAAAGCCAUCCUCAGUUCGGAUCGGAGUCUGCAACUCGACUCCGUGAAGUCGGAAUCGCUAGUAAUCGCGUAUCGGCAAUGACGCGGUGAAUACGUUCCCGGGCCUUGUACACACCGCCCGUCAAGCCAUGGAAGCCGGGGGCACCCGAAGCCCGUGACCCAACUUCGGAGGGAGCGGUCGAAGGUGAAUCUGGUGACUGGGGCUAAGUCGUAACAAGGUAACCGUA
RNAcentral lists this ribosomal RNA (911 nucleotides) under uncultured bacterium. RNAcentral's name for it is "bacterial SSU rRNA". It matches the Rfam family "Bacterial small subunit ribosomal RNA", at positions 588 to 1504 of the family's 1533-position model. The record is from RNAcentral.